This 163-nucleotide ribosomal RNA is filed under the name uncultured bacterium. RNAcentral describes it as "partial 16S rRNA". It matches the Rfam family "Bacterial small subunit ribosomal RNA", at positions 355 to 511 of the family's 1533-position model. The record is from RNAcentral.
UAGGGAAUCUUCCACAAUGGACGCAAGUCUGAUGGAGCAACGCCGCGUGAGUGAAGAAGGUCUUCGGAUCGUAAACUCUGUUGUUAGAGAAGAACACGAGUGAGAGUAACUGUUCUUGUAUUGACGGUAUCUAACCAGAAAGCCACGGCUAACUACGUGCUAG